This 3436-nucleotide unclassified non-coding RNA is filed under the name Leishmania donovani. RNAcentral describes it as "gene:LdHU3.18.0100(CDS-product:alpha_glucosidase_ II_subunit_putative)". Lineage: Eukaryota; Euglenozoa; Kinetoplastea; Trypanosomatida; Trypanosomatidae. The record is from RNAcentral.
GGGCACUCUUUCUUACCUUGGUAUUCUCUCUGGGCCAACUCCCCCUCCUCCUCCAGUGUGAGAGUGGGCCCUCUGUGAAAUAGUCUUUUCUGUCUUCUUCUUUUAUGCUCGUUUCUUCUCUUCUUGCGUUCCGAUCUGCGUUGUUGACGCACCCCCGCCGCCCUUCUCGGCCCAACACUGGACGGUUAGCAUCGUGGGCCCGUUGGCUGUGGCGCGUUUGCUGCACGAUGCGCUUGCACAGCAGGCGCUAUUUUAUCUGUACACUUCUCCUUAAGUCCUCUCUCUCUUUCGACCCUCGUCCGUGGCUUGGCACCGCCGCCAGGGAUGCGACGUUCUCAUAUGGCCCCGAUUGUUUUUGCACUACUCCUGCUGGUGACCACCGUCGCCUCGGCGGUGACCGUGGUAACGACAGAGGGCGGUCUGGCAUUGGAGGCGAUCGGCUACCCAAACGAUGUGGUGCGACUGACUGCGAAGCCGGGGGACAAGUGGACAUAUCAGCCCGAUGGCAUCAUCCUGCCAGACGCUGUGGCAUUACAGGCUACCAAAGGAGCUAGCGACGCGCAGUGGAGCAUCCCACACGGGAAGUGCAUGCUGACGAUUAGCAUGGCGCCUCCGCAUGUGCGCUUCGAGUUCUCGUGCCACGGGAGCUCACUCGUAGAGGUGACCGCAUUCGCCGACGCGAUGGCGGCGCCGGAGGUCAACUUCACAUUCCCUGCUGCACAGACGAUGUACGGCCUGGCCGAACACGCAGCGGACCUGCCGCUGCGAGGGGGGAACGUGUACGAAAUGUACAACACGGACACCUUCCAGUAUUCGGUAAACAGUACCGAGGCGCUCUACGGCGUCAUCCCCUUUAUCAUGGCGUACGCGCCGAAGUCCACGUGCGGCGUUCUCUUUCUCAACCCGUCUGAGACCAAUGUGGGCGUCAGCGCCGACAGUGCGGCACCGUCGUGUCAAUGGAAGCCCGAGGUCGGCGCGAUCGACAUCUUUUUCCUGCCGGGCCCCACUCCGACAAAGGUGCAGCAGCAGCACGCGGCUCUCACUGGAGCGACGGUGAUGCCACCCUACUUCAGUCUGGGACUGCACCAGUGCCGCUGGAACUACUUGAACACGAAGGACUGCCUCUCCGUGGACGAGGGCUUCGAUACUCAUAAUAUGCCGUACGACGUGCUGUGGCUUGACAUCGAGCACACAGACAAGAAAAAGUACUUCACGUGGGACCCCUACACCUUCCCUGACCCCAAGGCACUGACGGACGCCCUGGCGUCCAAGGGUCGAAAGUUGGUCACUGUCAGGGACCCGCACGUGAAGCGCGACGAGGGGUAUUACGUGCACAAUGAGGCUCAGAAGGGUGGCUACUACGUCAAAGAUGCCUCUGGGGAGGACUACGUGGGCAAAUGCUGGCCGGGGAGCAGCUCGUGGCCGGACUUCUUCAACACACGCACGCGCGUCUGGUACUCGCAGUUCUUCCACGAUGACCGCUACCCGGGCGGCAGCCGCGACAUCCACACCUGGGUGGACAUGAACGAGCCGUCAGUGUUCGGUGGCGAGAGGGGCACCAUGCCCAAGACGGCGGUGCACAGCCUGGACAAUGGUCAUACCGUCGAGCAUCGUUUUGUGCACAACGCGUACAGCUUCUACUCGGUCCAGGCUGUCCACAAAGGAAUGCUCGAAGCCGGCGGCCCCAACACGGCGCCCGAGCGUCCUUUCAUCCUUACGCGAAGCUUCUUUUCUGGGUCGCAGCGGUAUGCGGCGAUGUGGACGGGCGACAACAUGGCCCGCUGGGACCACCUGGAGAACAGCAUUCCAGAGCUGCUCUCCUUGUCCAUCUCAAACUACCCUUUCUGCGGCUGCGACAUUGGUGGCUUCUUCUUCGACCCCGAGGAGGAGCUGUUUGUGCGGUGGAUGCAGGCCGGUGUCUUUGUGCCGUUUUACCGCGCCCACUCCCACCUCGAUACGAAGCGUCGCGAGCCGUGGACGUUCUCGGCUGAGGCCCAGUCUCUUGUUCGAAGCGCCUUGGCGCUGCGGUACGCCAUGCUGCCGUACCUCUACACUACUUUCUACCACGCGCAUACCGAGGGCAACACCAUCAUGCGCCCUCUCUUCUACGAAUUCCCUAGGCAGUCGGAGUUGCGCGAGGUGCAGAACACUUACCUCUUCGGCCCCUCCAUUCUAGUGCGGCCAGUAGUGAAGCCGAGCGUGACGGAGGUGACGGUGCCGCUGCCCAAGGAAGCGCUGUGGUACAACUACUUCUCGGGCGAGCUGGCAGUCGGACAGCACACAAUGCCAGUGGACAAAGAUACGAUACCGAUGUUCCUGCGUGGUGGCCACAUUGUCCCCAUGAAGUUGCGGCUUCGGCGCAGCAGCUUUGCAGCCCGCCUGGACCCUUUCACGCUCUUCGUGGCCCUCAACGCGCAGGGAAACAGCUACGGGGACCUGUACAUUGACGAUGGUACCACCUACGAUUACAAAAAGGGCGCCUUUGUGCACCGCGCGUUCUCCUACUCGAAUCAGGUGCUCCAGAACAGCGCCUACCCGAACUCCCCGGGGACCUCAGGGCUUUACAACGCCGUCAACGCCGUCGAGCGUGUUGUGAUCUACGGCUACGUUGGCAAGGUCAGCAAGGCGGUCUUGAACACCCGCGUGGACGAGACGGAGGUGGCGACGCCGCUCGAGUUCGAGCAGCUGGGACAGACCGUGGUUGUCCGCAAGCCCAGCGUCCUCGUGGCGGCCGACUGGAUCAUCUCGUUUGAGAAUGAAUAGGCGCCCCAGCGCUUCGAUACGCAGCCAAUGUCGAUAGCCUGGUGCGGCUGCUGGUGGUGUUGUGCACGAGGGUGCCUAGGCGCCGAAUGAGGGAGUCGAUAACAGACCUAUAGACUGCUCCUCUAUCGCCAUGGGUACUAGAAGGAGUGGAAGCAUGCACGCUCACCUCCCCACCCUGUUCUCUUACCCAUGACUGUGCACCUUACCUUCUCUGCCCUGUAUUCUUUUGAGCGAUGCGUAUCGAUGUUCCGCCUCUCCUUUUGCGCCACGACCGUGCUAGUUACGCGCACAUGCUGUUCGAGGAGAACGGCAAUGCGCGAUUCCUGACAAGGGGGGGGGCGUGAGAGCUGCAAUGCGAGGCGUAGAGCAGCCAUGAAGCACACAUUGUGCGCGACAAGAGAGAAAUCUUUCUGGGGAUAUGAGGCUACACAAGGGAAGACGAUAAUUUGGCUGUUCGCAGCGCUCUGUCGCGGGCAGGUGGGAGACGUGAGGAGCGAAAGCCAUCACACUCUUCUUUGUGCGACCCGGAACAGGUGGCAAGGCGCACUGCAUGCUCGUUGUGCAGCUCUUUUUGUGGUCAUGUGUUUCAUCCAAUAGUGUCGUGUCAGGCGCGGGAGCACACGCUGUAGGGGGCCGAGAGGUGCCUAAGAAGAUUAGUUGAACCUGUGAACAU